GGUUAAGCGACUAAGCGUACACGGUGGAUGCCCUGGCAGUCAGAGGCGAUGAAGGACGUGCUAAUCUGCGAUAAGCGUCGGUAAGGUGAUAUGAACCGUUAUAACCGGCGAUUUCCGAAUGGGGAAACCCAGUGUGUUUCGACACACUAUCAUUAACUGAAUCCAUAGGUUAAUGAGGCGAACCGGGGGAACUGAAACAUCUAAGUACCCCGAGGAAAAGAAAUCAACCGAGAUUCCCCCAGUAGCGGCGAGCGAACGGGGAGGAGCCCAGAGCCUGAAUCAGUGUGUGUGUUAGUGGAAGCGUCUGGAAAGGCGCGCGAUACAGGGUGACAGCCCCGUACACAAAAAUGCACAUACUGUGAGCUCGAUGAGUAGGGCGGGACACGUGGUAUCCUGUCUGAAUAUGGGGGGACCAUCCUCCAAGGCUAAAUACUCCUGACUGACCGAUAGUGAACCAGUACCGUGAGGGAAAGGCGAAAAGAACCCCGGCGAGGGGAGUGAAAAAGAACCUGAAACCGUGUACGUACAAGCAGUGGGAGCCUCUUUAUGGGGUGACUGCGUACCUUUUGUAUAAUGGGUCAGCGACUUAUAUUCUGUAGCAAGGUUAACCGAAUAGGGGAGCCGAAGGGAAACCGAGUCUUAACUGGGCGUUAAGUUGCAGGGUAUAGACCCGAAACC
RNAcentral lists this ribosomal RNA (678 nucleotides) under Escherichia coli. RNAcentral describes it as "partial 23S ribosomal RNA". It matches the Rfam family "Bacterial large subunit ribosomal RNA", at positions 1 to 722 of the family's 2925-position model. The record is from RNAcentral. Lineage: Bacteria; Pseudomonadati; Pseudomonadota; Gammaproteobacteria; Enterobacterales; Enterobacteriaceae.